This 748-nucleotide long non-coding RNA is filed under the name Olea europaea (common olive). Its description in RNAcentral is "long non-coding RNA (OEUR_LNC008724)". Lineage: Eukaryota; Viridiplantae; Streptophyta; Magnoliopsida; Lamiales; Oleaceae. The record is from RNAcentral.
GGACGAGAGGAAGCAAUCAUUAUUAGACUAGAUGAGUGCCUGUGAAGCUUGCAUUAAUGCUGAGGUGCUGAAUUGUAGAUUCAUUCUAUAUACAAUGACAUUUUCUAAAAAAGGCAUUCAUUCUUCACUCAACCAUUCAUUGACUUCAUAUCUCUUGCUUUUACCAAUUCAACGCAUGUUGCAGCUAAAAUCGGAGUUGGAGAAUGUGGUGAAGCUGAGGAACGAGACUCUGGCCACGUAGCGAGCUGUUGAAGCUAAGCAAGCUUCACAUUGAUGAAAGUAAGAUGCGGUCGAGAGAGAAAAGGAGUUGGAAAAUACCUUGGCUUAUAAGGAAUGUUCUGAUGUAGUUUGCAAGCUAAAACUUGAGGCUAUGAAGAUAUGGGGAAAGAAGGCCAAUGCCCAUGCUAAAUCAGAGAAAAAAAGGGCUUCAAAGAAGAAAAGUGAGCUGAUAAAGAGGUGCUCGAGCUACCAGGAUGGUCGAAGAGUAGAAGGAAGUUUCCAACAUUUGAUGAUUUAGCCUAAGAUGCCUAUGUAAUUGGGUUAUCGAGGUGUUCGAACAUAUAGAGAGGAUGAGGUUGGGUUUUGACGUUGGUUUCCUCCAUGAAGUUAGCUUAUUAGAAGAAUUUUUUUUUCCCAAAUGUUAGCUGCAACCUCUUAUCCACCUGCUUCAAACGUCAAACCUCCAAUGUGACUGUCCCUGCUCAAGGAAAUCUUCACUUACCUAGUAUUGUUGCUAUUUUAUUAUGCU